GACGAACGCUGGCGGCGUGCUUAACACAUGCAAGUCGAACGGAAAGGCCCUGCUUUUGUGGGGUGCUCGAGUGGCGAACGGGUGAGUAACACGUGAGUAACCUGCCCUUGACUUUGGGAUAACUUCAGGAAACUGGGGCUAAUACCGGAUAGGAGCUCCUGCUGCAUGGUGGGGGUUGGAAAGUUUCGGCGGUUGGGGAUGGACUCGCGGCUUAUCAGCUUGUUGGUGGGGUAGUGGCUUACCAAGGCUUUGACGGGUAGCCGGCCUGAGAGGGUGACCGGCCACAUUGGGACUGAGAUACGGCCCGGACUCCUACGGGAGGCAGAAGUGGGGAAUAUUGCACAAGGGGAGGAGGCCUGAUGCGGCAACGCCGCGUGCGGGAUGACGGCCUUCGGGUUGUAAACCACUUUCGCCUGUGACGAAGCGUGAGUGACGGUAAUGGGUAAAGAAGCACCGGCUAACUACGUG
This 468-nucleotide ribosomal RNA is filed under the name uncultured bacterium. RNAcentral's name for it is "partial 16S ribosomal RNA". It matches the Rfam family "Bacterial small subunit ribosomal RNA", at positions 28 to 507 of the family's 1533-position model. The record is from RNAcentral.